Molecule: long non-coding RNA, 449 nt
Filed under: Pollicipes pollicipes
Lineage: Eukaryota; Metazoa; Arthropoda; Thecostraca; Pollicipedomorpha; Pollicipedidae
Description: uncharacterized LOC119106404
Source: RNAcentral
GUACCGCGACGUAGGGGUGUCGGGGGCCGCAAGAAGGCUUCCGACGCAAUCCGGGCGCGAGGGUCGGGCGGGGCGCACGUGUGGCUGGAGCAAUAACCGCCUCCGCGCGAAGACUUCGCACCAGAUUUCACCCGAACGUCGCUGUCGUCGGUCGCCAUGCUGCGCGCGCUGCUGCUGGUGGUGGUGGCGGUGGCGGUGCUUCCGCUCGGCGGCGCCGUGACCUCCCUGCAGGACAUGGAGUCCGCCAUCGUCAGCCUGGACGCGAAAAUGAGGGCGGUGGCCAACGACUGCACCGACACGAGUCCAGGUCGCGCCAGGUGAACGAAGUGACCACGAAGACGCUGCGGGCGAUCCUGACCCAGACGGCCGGCCAGAGUCGCAACGUGGAGAGCAUCGCCGUCUACAUGGCCAAGAUGGAGGGCCGCAUGCUCAACAUGGAUAGAGCCCUG